CCUCAAGGUACGGAACAACUCAGGGAAACUUGGGCUAAUACCGUAUGAUGCAGGGAUGCCAAAGAUUUAUCGCCUUGGGAUAAGCCCGCGUCAGAUUAGGUAGUUGGUGGGGUAAUGGCUCACCAAGCCUGUGAUCUGUAGCUGGUCUGAGAGGACGAUCAGCCACAUUGGGACUGAGACACGGCCCAAACUCCUACGGGAGGCAGCAGUGGGGAAUCUUGCGCAAUGGACGAAAGUCUGACGCAGCCAUGCCGCGUGAAUGAUGAAGGUCUUAGGAUUGUAAAGUUCCUUAGCCUGUGACGAUGAUGACGGUAACAGGAGAAUAAGCCCCGGCUAACUUCGUGCCAGCAGCCGCGGUAAUACGAAGGGGGCUAGCGUUGUUCGGAAUUACUGGGCGUAAAGCGCGCGUAGGCGGUUUUGCAAGCCAGAGGUGAAAUGCCUGAGCUCAACUUGGGAAUUGCCUUUGGGACUGUGAGACUUUGAGGACGAGAGAGGUGAGUGGAAUUCCCAGUGUAGAGGUGAAAUUCGUAGAUAUUGGGAAGAACACCGGUGGCGAAGGCGGCUCACUGGCUCGUUUCUGACGCUGUAGCGCGAAAGCGUGGGGAUCAAACAGGAUUAGAUACCCUGGUAGUCCACGCUGUAAACGAUGAGUGCUAGGCGUUGGCACGCUUGCGUGUCAGUGCCGCAGCUAACGCGUGAAGCA
Molecule: ribosomal RNA, 703 nt
Filed under: uncultured Alphaproteobacteria bacterium
Lineage: Bacteria; Pseudomonadati; Pseudomonadota; Alphaproteobacteria
Description: bacterial SSU rRNA
Rfam family: Bacterial small subunit ribosomal RNA
Source: RNAcentral